RNAcentral lists this ribosomal RNA (465 nucleotides) under uncultured bacterium. RNAcentral's name for it is "bacterial SSU rRNA". It matches the Rfam family "Bacterial small subunit ribosomal RNA", at positions 28 to 507 of the family's 1533-position model. The record is from RNAcentral.
GACGAACGCUGGCGGCGUGCCUAACACAUGCAAGUCGAACGGGGUAAAUUGCUUCGGUGAUUUACUUAGUGGCGAACGGGUGAGUAACGCGUGAGAAACCUGCCUCUCAGUGGGGGACAACAGUUGGAAACGACUGCUAAUACCGCAUAACACAUCGAGGGGGCAUCCCUUUGAUGUCAAAGAUUUAUCGCUGAAAGAUGGGCUCGCGUCUGAUUAGAUAGUUGGUGGGGUAACGGCCUACCAAGUCGACGAUCAGUAGCCGGACUGAGAGGUUGAACGGCCACAUUGGGACUGAAGAUACGGCCCAGACUCCUACGGGAGGCAGCAGUGGGGAAUAUUGGGCAAUGGGGGAAACCCUGACCCAGCAACGCCGCGUGAAGGAAGAAAGGCUUUCGGGUUGUAAACUUCUUUACCAGGGACGAAGACGUGACGGUACCUGGAGAAAAAGCCACGGCUAACUACGUG